Astatotilapia calliptera (eastern happy) is the source of this 1239-nucleotide long non-coding RNA. NCBI's taxonomy places the organism in Eukaryota, Metazoa, Chordata, Actinopteri, Cichliformes, Cichlidae. The record is from Ensembl.
UCUCAAACUGAUCUCCCUGUUGGAGCUCAGUCUGGGGGGAGUUAUUUUUUUUCUCCUUAUCUUUCCUCAUGUGGUGCAUUUUCCAUUGUUAUACCUCUCUGACCUGUCUUCCCGAUGUGAUGUUUUGUGUAAUGUAUGUAUGGUCGGAGGGUAAGAUGGCGCCGCCAUUGUGUGCAAUAGGUCGGCAGCCUUAUGAAAUUUCCCCUUGUGGGACUAAUAAAUGUAUAUCAACUCAAUUAUAGAUGUUUUAGUAUACAUUAUUAGUACAGUAGUACAGUAUACAGUAUACUACAAUCCUUCAGAGAUUCAAUAUCUGAAUAAAUACCUUCAUAUGAAAGACAAAGCAUUCAAUCUAAUAACUCAACAUAUUGAAACACAAACAUAUAUUGCUUCUGCAGAUAAAGCUUGGCAGAUUUUAGUAGCAUGAUUCUAUAAACACUAUCUUUAAUUCAGUGUUUUUUGUUGAGCUAGUUUGAUGUUUAGAUAUCAGAUGAUGUACGCUGUGAACAAACAUCAGUGCAAGUUUGAAUAAUUCAGAUUUCCCCUAUGGUGUUUCCUUAUAGAUAUUCAAAAGCAUGUGAAAAUAAAAAAACAAAAAGUGCAGUGCAGCGUCCAGUUGUAUCACAUUGCAAAAAAAAAAAAGAAAGAAAGAAAAAAAAAAGACUUUUUCUGUGAACACAGUUUUUCCAUGUUUUUCAUGGUUGCAGUCCCUGACAUCUUAUUUGUGCCUUCUGGUGUUGGUAAAGAUGAAAAAUAAAGAGAGGCAAGGAAAAGGCUUCAUAUUAUUACUAUGUGCAGUAUCAGACUCCGCUGUAAUAAUUCUAUCUCGAAUGUUUCUUUGAAGAAAAAUUGAAGCCUUGACAAAACUCUAAUGAGAAUCUGAAUCAUAACUGAAUCAUUUAAUUGAAACAUACAUGAACAAACUCGUGAAAUGAUCUUAAAGUCCACACCUCCAUAAAAGAGAUGACUUGUGCAGGUUUUGUGAGACUUCCACACAAGGUUGCCAGAUAUGCAGAGUGGAGAAAGAAGGCUGUAUCUUUAUUUAGCCGGGCCAUUAUGGAAAGGUCACAAAGUUCAUUUUGAAACACAGAUACAUACCCGUACACAUGCACACACACGUUUCAGCAACCCAAACCCGCGCACACACAUCAUACCAAAGGAGAAACAAAGGCAAGCCUAAAAUAGAGAAACAGAUGACUAACACUUAACUGUACACACAGAUACUGGACGCACACUCAC